This is a non-coding RNA of Hymenopellis radicata, 101 nucleotides long. The record is from the annotation of a GenBank genome assembly. Lineage: Eukaryota; Fungi; Basidiomycota; Agaricomycetes; Agaricales; Physalacriaceae.
UCGGAUAUGGUGUAACGGCUAACAUUGCCGCCUCUCAUCACGUCCUAAGUUGUGCACUUUCCUGAGCGCGGCAGCUCGGGGUUCGAUUCCCCGUAUCCGAA